GAUGAACGCCGUUGGCGUGCCUAAUACAUGCAAGUCGAGCGAACAGAUGAGAAGCUUGCUUCUCUGAUGUUAGCGGCGGACGGGUGAGUAACACGUGGGUAACCUACCUAUAAGACUGGGAUAACUCCGGGAAACCGGGGCUAAUACCGGAUAAUAUUUUGAACCGCAUGGUUCAAUAGUGAAAGACGGUUUCAGCUGUCACUUAUAGAUGGACCCGCGCCGUAUUAGCUAGUUGGUAAGGUAACGGCUUACCAAGGCGACGAUACGUAGCCGACCUGAGAGGGUGAUCGGCCACACUGGAACUGAGACACGGUCCAGACUCCUACGGGAGGCAGCAGUAGGGAAUCUUCCACAAUGGGCGAAAGCCUGACGGAGCAACGCCGCGUGAGUGAUGAAGGUCUUCGGAUCGUAAAACUCUGUUGUUAGGGAAGAACAAAUUUGUUAGUAACUGAACAAAUUUUGACGGUACCUAACCAGAAAGCCACGGCUAACUACGUGCCAGCAGCCGCGGUAAUACGUAGGUGGCAAGCGUUAUCCGGAAUUAUUGGGCGUAAAGCGCGCGUAGGCGGUUUCUUAAGUCUGAUGUGAGAGCCCACGGCUCAACCGUGGAGGGUCAUUGGAAACUGGGAAACUGGAGUGCAGAAGAGGAGAGUGGAAUUCCAUGUGUAGCGGUGAAAUGCGCAGAGAUAUGGAGGAACACCAGUGGCGAAGGCGUCUCUCUGGUCUGUAACUGACGCUGAUGUGCGAAAGCGUGGGGAUCAAACAGGAUUAGAUACCCUGGUAGUCCACGCCGUAAACGAUGAGUGCUAAGUGUUAGGGGGUUUCCGCCCCUUAGUGCUGCAGAUAACGCAUUAAGCACUCCGCCUGGGGAGUACGACCGCAAGGUUGAAACUCAAAGGAAUUGACGGGGACCCGCACAAGCGGUGGAGCAUGUGGUUUAAUUUGAAGCAACGCGAAGAACCUUACCAAAUCUUGACAUCUUUUGACCGCUCUAGAGAUAGAGUAUUCCCGUUUGGGGGCCAAAGUGACAGGUGGUGCAUGGUUGUCGUCAGAUAGUGUGGUGAGAUGUCGGAUUAACUCCGGCAAGGAUGCGCAUCUCUUAAGCUUAGUUGCCAUCAUUAAGUGGGGCGCCUUUAGGUCACCACCUGGGUCAUACCCGGAUCGAAGGGUGGAAUAGCGUCAAAUCAUCAUUCGCUCCAUGAUUUUGGUCACACGAGUGUUCCAAUUGUUAAUCCAAAGGUCAGUGAAUUAUCGAGCCCAAGCAAAUCCCAUAAAAUGAUUUUCUGUUCGGAUUGUCGUUUGCAGAUAGAGAACCAAAAUUCUGAUUGGUUAGUUUUGAUAGAUAAGCAUAAUGCGGGGAACAAGUUGUCCGGUUU
Molecule: ribosomal RNA, 1376 nt
Filed under: uncultured bacterium
Lineage: Bacteria
Description: partial 16S ribosomal RNA
Rfam family: Bacterial small subunit ribosomal RNA
Source: RNAcentral